CCAUCUAUGUCACUAGAUGAAUCUAAGGGUAUGAAAAAGAGCUACCCUGACAAUGUGACGAAAUACUCUUAAGCAUAGGGAAAAUCUCGUGAAAGCAAUUUCUUUCUAAUAAUCACAAUCAGAUAAGUUG
This is a non-coding RNA of Ixodes scapularis (black-legged tick), 130 nucleotides long. Lineage: Eukaryota; Metazoa; Arthropoda; Arachnida; Ixodida; Ixodidae. The record is from Rfam.